Molecule: transfer RNA, 66 nt
Filed under: Svistella anhuiensis
Lineage: Eukaryota; Metazoa; Arthropoda; Insecta; Orthoptera; Trigonidiidae
Description: tRNA-Glu
Source: RNAcentral
GUUUAUAUAGUUUAAUUAAAACGUUACAUUUUCGUUGUAAGGAUAAUUUAUUUGAAUUUAUAAAUA